This 480-nucleotide unclassified non-coding RNA is filed under the name Lasthenia coronaria. RNAcentral's name for it is "partial external transcribed spacer". Lineage: Eukaryota; Viridiplantae; Streptophyta; Magnoliopsida; Asterales; Asteraceae. The record is from RNAcentral.
UUUGCUUGCGCAACAACUUCCAUCCUUCAAUCCUCUUCAGUUGUCUGUUAGGGCUUGUGUUGCCUUAUCGGAUUGUGGGUUUGCUGUAUUGUCUACCUAAGCUAUGGUAUUUUGUUGAUCGACCCUGUAUACUUUCAUCUUCUAUCAUUAUCAUGAUACAAGAUGAACCUCGAAGUGAUCUCUUUGUACCACCUUGUCGAUGCAUCGUCGGUAUUGUGGCCCAUUGAGCAUUGCUUGGUUUCAUGGACACAGUAAAUGAUGUGGGCAUGGGUUCUUAUUUGAUCCCUAUUUUGUCCUCCAAUAGCGUUGCGCUACUCUUUUAAUGACCUUCCUUAUCUUGUGACCGCAUGUCGGAGCAGGUCUGGUCGUAUGUUAUUUUAAGAGUAACCGCAACGUGCAUUCCUCUAAGCGAUUGCAUAUCCCGCCCGGCUCGUACCAACGGGAUAUGUUGUCAAUUAUGAAUGCUACCUGGUUGAUCCU